This 474-nucleotide ribosomal RNA is filed under the name uncultured bacterium. RNAcentral's name for it is "bacterial SSU rRNA". It matches the Rfam family "Bacterial small subunit ribosomal RNA", at positions 333 to 793 of the family's 1533-position model. The record is from RNAcentral.
UCACUCCUACGGGGAGGCAGCAGUGGGGGAAUAUUGCACAAUGGGCGCAAGCCUGAUGCAGCCAUGCCGCGUGUGUGAAGAAGGCCUUCGGGUUGUAAAGCACUUUCAGUCGUGAGGAAGGUGGUGUAGUUAAUAGCUGCAUCAUUUGACGUUAGCGACAGAAGAAAGCACCGGCUAACUCCGUGCCAGCAGCCGCGGUAAUACGGAGGGUGCGAGCGUUAAUCGGAAUUACUGGGCGUAAAGCGCAUGCAGGUGGUUUGUUAAGUCAGAUGUGAAAGACCCGGGGCUCAACCUCGGAAUUGCAUUUGAAACUGGCAGACUAGAGUACUGUAGAGGGGGGUAGGAAUUUCAGGUGUAGCGGUGAAAUGCGUAGAGAUCUGAAGGAAUACCGGUGGCGAAGGCGGCCCCCUCGGACAGAUACUGACACUCAGAUGCGAAAGCGUGGGGAGCAAACAGGAUUAGAUACCCUGGUAG